GCCGUAGUGCUGGAAUCUGGUAGACAGGCUAGCUUGAGGGGCUAGUGCCCCUUAGGGCGUGAGGGUUCAAAUCCCUCCUACGGCACCA
RNAcentral lists this transfer RNA (88 nucleotides) under Candidatus Moraniibacteriota bacterium. Its description in RNAcentral is "tRNA-Leu". It matches the Rfam family "tRNA". From Rfam's summary of the family: Transfer RNA (tRNA) molecules are approximately 80 nucleotides in length. Their secondary structure includes four short double-helical elements and three loops (D, anti-codon, and T loops). Further hydrogen bonds mediate the characteristic L-shaped molecular structure. tRNAs have two regions of fundamental functional importance: the anti-codon, which is responsible for specific mRNA codon recognition, and the 3' end, to which the tRNAs corresponding amino acid is attached (by aminoacyl-tRNA synthetases). tRNAs cope with the degeneracy of the genetic code in two manners: having more than one tRNA (with a specific anti-codon) for a particular amino acid; and 'wobble' base-pairing, i.e. permitting non-standard base-pairing at the 3rd anti-codon position. The record is from RNAcentral. Lineage: Bacteria; Candidatus Moraniibacteriota.